GAGCGGCGGACGGGUGAGUAAUGCUUGGGAACAUGCCUUGAGGUGGGGGACAACAGUUGGAAACGACUGCUAAUACCGCAUAAUGUCUACGGACCAAAGGGGGCUUCGGCUCUCGCCUUUAGAUUGGCCCAAGUGGGAUUAGCUAGUUGGUGAGGUAAUGGCUCACCAAGGCGACGAUCCCUAGCUGGUUUGAGAGGAUGAUCAGCCACACUGGGACUGAGACACGGCCCAGACUCCUACGGGAGGCAGCAGUGGGGAAUAUUGCACAAUGGGCGCAAGCCUGAUGCAGCCAUGCCGCGUGUGUGAAGAAGGCCUUCGGGUUGUAAAGCACUUUCAGUCAGGAGGAAAGGUUGGUGGUUAAUACCCGUUAUGUGUGACGUUACUGACAGAAGAAGCACCGGCUAACUCCGUGCCAGCAGCCGCGGUAAUACGGAGGGUGCGAGCGUUAAUCGGAAUUACUGGGCGUAAAGCGUACGCAGGCGGUUUGUUAAGCGAGAUGUGAAAGCCCCGGGCUCAACCUGGGAACUGCAUUUCGAACUGGCAAACUAGAGUGUGAUAGAGGGUGGUAGAAUUUCAGGUGUAGCGGUGAAAUGCGUAGAGAUCUGAAGGAAUACCGAUGGCGAAGGCAGCCACCUGGGUCAACACUGACGCUCAUGUACGAAAGCGUGGGGAGCAAACGGGAUUAGAUACCCCGGUAGUCCACGCCGUAAACGAUGUCUACUAGAAGCUCGGAGCCUCGGCUCUGUUUUUCAAAGCUAACGCAUUAAGUAGACCGCCUGGAGAGUACGGCCGCAAGGUUAAAACUCAAAUGAAUUGACGGGGGCCCGCACAAGCGG
This 836-nucleotide ribosomal RNA is filed under the name Pseudoalteromonas sp. BAL424. RNAcentral's name for it is "bacterial SSU rRNA". It matches the Rfam family "Bacterial small subunit ribosomal RNA", at positions 93 to 932 of the family's 1533-position model. Lineage: Bacteria; Pseudomonadati; Pseudomonadota; Gammaproteobacteria; Alteromonadales; Pseudoalteromonadaceae. The record is from RNAcentral.